UAACUCACAUCCACCAACGCCAGGGUAUUACGAGCUUUAGCUUAAAACCCAAAGGACUUGACGGUGUCCCAUCCACCUAGAGGAGCCUGUUCCAUCAUCGAUAAUCCCCGCUACACCUAACCACCCCUUGCCAAUCAGUCUGUAUACCUCCGUCGUAAACUUACCAUGUGAGUGCUCACAGUAAGUUUAAUGGCCACCAUCACCAAUACGUCAGGUCAAGGUGCAGCUUAUGGGGCGGCAGGCAAUGGGCUACAAUUUCUAUACUAGAACAAACGAAACGCUGCAUGAAAUACAGCCACGAAGGCGGAUUUAGUAGUAAAAAGAAAAUAAUGUGUUCUUUUUAACUAGGCCCUGGGACGUGU
RNAcentral lists this ribosomal RNA (362 nucleotides) under Quasipaa boulengeri (spiny-bellied frog). RNAcentral describes it as "partial 12S ribosomal RNA". It matches the Rfam family "Bacterial small subunit ribosomal RNA", at positions 853 to 1384 of the family's 1533-position model. The record is from RNAcentral. Lineage: Eukaryota; Metazoa; Chordata; Amphibia; Anura; Dicroglossidae.